Molecule: ribosomal RNA, 467 nt
Filed under: uncultured bacterium
Lineage: Bacteria
Description: partial 16S ribosomal RNA
Rfam family: Bacterial small subunit ribosomal RNA
Source: RNAcentral
ACGAACGCUGGCGGCGUGCUUAACACAUGCAAGUCGCACGGAAAGGCCCUGCUUUUGUGGGGUGCUCGAGUGGCGAACGGGUGAGUAACACGUGAGUAACCUGCCCUUGACUUUGGGAUAACUUCAGGAAACUGGGGCUAAUACCGGAUAGGAGCUCCUGCUGCAUGGUGGGGGUUGGAAAGUUUCGGCGGUUGGGGAUGGACUUGCGGCUUAUCAGCUUGUUGGUGGGGUAGUGGCUUACCAAGGCUUUGACGGGUAGCCGGCCUGAGAGGGUGACCGGCCACAUUGGGACUGAGAUACGGCCCAGACUCCUACGGGAGGCAGCAGUGGGGAAUAUUGCACAAUGGGCGGAAGCCUGAUGCAGCAACGCCGCGUGCGGGAUGACGGCCUUCGGGUUGUAAACCGCUUUCGCCUGUGACGAAGCGUGAGUGACGGUAAUGGGUAAAGAAGCACCGGCUAACUACGUG